GAUGAACGCUGGCGGCGUGCCUAAUACAUGCAAGUCGAGCGAACAGACGAGGAGCUUGCUCCUCUGACGUUAGCGGCGGACGGGUGAGUAACACGUGGAUAACCUACCUAUAAGACUGGGAUAACUUCGGGAAACCGGAGCUAAUACCGGAUAAUAUAUUGAACCGCAUGGUUCAAUAGUGAAAGACGGUUUUGCUGUCACUUAUAGAUGGAUCCGCGCCGCAUUAGCUAGUUGGUAAGGUAACGGCUUACCAAGGCAACGAUGCGUAGCCGACCUGAGAGGGUGAUCGGCCACACUAGAACUGAGACACGGUCCAGACUCCUACGGGAGGCAGCAGUAGGGAAUCUUCCGCAAUGGGCGAAAGCCUGACGGAGCAACGCCGCGUGAGUGAUGAAGGUCUUCGGAUCGUAAAACUCUGUUAUUAGGGAAGAACAUAUGUGUAAGUAACUAUGCACGUCUUGACGGUACCUAAUCAGAAAGCCACGGCUAACUACGUG
Molecule: ribosomal RNA, 497 nt
Filed under: uncultured bacterium
Lineage: Bacteria
Description: partial 16S ribosomal RNA
Rfam family: Bacterial small subunit ribosomal RNA
Source: RNAcentral